This 299-nucleotide long non-coding RNA is filed under the name Elaeis guineensis (African oil palm). Its description in RNAcentral is "long non-coding RNA (EGUI_LNC022292)". The record is from RNAcentral. Lineage: Eukaryota; Viridiplantae; Streptophyta; Magnoliopsida; Arecales; Arecaceae.
GUAGGAGGGAUCCGGUAGGGAGCCAGCACCAGGCCAUCUUUUAAAGAAAUAAGCUCAUCCUUAGGUGCACUCCCAUCCUCCAGAUCCAUCCAAGAUCUCUGUGUCUACUGGCCUCACUUCGAUAAAUCUGAUAGAGAUCAACCAUCACAACCCUCAGAGUACAAGAACGACCCCAUAUCCUGAUGUUCGGACUACUAAAGAUGGGAGUCGCAAGGGACAAAAUUCACUCCCUCGAUUGCCCGCCAAGUAGCUGAGGCACAAUUGUCGGAUCCCACCCCCUACCAUUAGAGUGGUGAAGA